GACGAACGCUGGCGGCGUGCUUAACACAUGCAAGUCGAACGGAAAGGCCCUGCUUUCGUGGGGUGCUCGAGUGGCGAACGGGUGAGUAACACGUGAGUAACCUGCCCUUGACUUUGGGAUAACUUCAGGAAACUGGGGCUAAUACCGGAUAGGAGCUCCUGCUGCAUGGUGGGGGUUGGAACGUUUCGGCGGUUGGGGAUGGACUCGCGGCUUAUCAGCUUGUUGGUGGGGUAGUGGCUUACCAAGGCUUUGACGGGUAGCCGGCCUGAGAGGGUGACCGGCCACAUUGGGACUGAGAGACGGCCCAGACUCCUACGGGGGGCAGCAGUGGGGAAUAUUGCACAGUGGGCGGAAGCCUGAUGCAGCAACGCCGCGUGCGGGAUGACGGCCUUCGGGUUGUAAACCGCUUUCGCCUGUGACGAAGCGUGAGUGACGGUAAUGGGUAAAGAAGCACCGGCUAACUACGUG
Molecule: ribosomal RNA, 468 nt
Filed under: uncultured bacterium
Lineage: Bacteria
Description: partial 16S ribosomal RNA
Rfam family: Bacterial small subunit ribosomal RNA
Source: RNAcentral